RNAcentral lists this unclassified non-coding RNA (374 nucleotides) under uncultured bacterium. RNAcentral describes it as "contains 16S-23S intergenic spacer region". The record is from RNAcentral.
UCCGAUUUGUCACCGGCAGUCUCCUAUGAGUCCCCGACAUUACUCGCUGGCAACAUAGAACAAGGGUUGCGCUCGUUGCGGGACUUAACCCAACAUCUCACGACACGAGCUGACGACAACCAUGCACCACCUGUAUGGCGCCCUUGCGGACCUGACAUCUCUGCCAGUUUUCACCAUAUGUCAAGCCUUGGUAAGGUUCUUCGCGUUGCGUCGAAUUAAACCACAUGCUCCACCGCUUGUGCGGGCCCCCGUCAAUUCCUUUGAGUUUUAACCUUGCGGCCGUACUCCCCAGGCGGGAUGCUUAAUGCGUUAGCUGCGCCACCAACAAGCAUGCUUGCUGACGGCUAGCAUCCAUCGUUUACAGCGUGGACUAC